Columba livia (rock pigeon) is the source of this 1843-nucleotide long non-coding RNA. RefSeq lists it as uncharacterized. The transcript is spliced from 3 exons. Lineage: Eukaryota; Metazoa; Chordata; Aves; Columbiformes; Columbidae. The record is from RefSeq and is a predicted model, not a curated record.
CUCAUUGUGAGGUUGGAAGUGACAAGUGUCUUCGGCACUCACAUCUAUCUCUGGGCGAGGUCUGAGGUCCUGCAAAAACACAGGGCAUGAAGAAGCAUGAGGCCAGAGUAUGAUGUAGACCAGAAAGAUAUUUUAUUGUUACCUUAUACAAGAAAUAUGGACAUAAAAUUUAAUGUCUGAUGAGGAUCACCAAAAAUACAGCUUUUACCUAGUCUGCUAGAUAGGGAUUUGUAUUUAUGAAUUUUUAUUGUGUUUAUAGCAUUUUCAUCUCCUUCACUCAUUUAUCUUUCUCCAUCAGGUUUCCUCUUUUCUUCAACAGCAUUUGACUACAUGCCCUAUCAAGAGAGAAAAGUGCGAAGGAAUAUUAGUUUAACAAAGCCAAAUAAAAAAUAAGUUUUGCGACUGUUUCUACAUUAUAGUACAGCUUAUUUGUAUCUCAGUUGUUCCUAAAUCUGACUUUCAUAGUGAAUAUUGUUAUUGAGAGCUGGGUAUAUCCUUGAGACAAUUCUCCUGAAAGCAGUGGAUUUUGGAGAUGCAGGUCUGAAACCUAUGGUUUAGCUUUCUUCUGUAAUCUCAGUAAUAGCCUUCUAAGUUUGACAGUGUACUUUUUCCAACUGCCUGUCCAGAAAGUGACCAAAAGGUAUGGUCUGGACAGCUAAUAUGAAAAAAAAAAAUCACUAUCUUAAAAGAGACUACAUUUUAUUUUCACUAAGCAGCUUAUUAGAGGAAGACGAGAUGACAAAUGAGCAGCAUGGAGGAAGGAAGGCCAGGCUGUGCAAUGGUCAGCUAAAUCCCUCCCAUGCUGUGGCAAACACCUGAGAGGAAAUACCACAGCAUGAAGAAACAGUAAAUCUCCUUCAACUUCUCAUUCAGAAAAUAUACUCAGUGCUUCCCUUCUGAUGGUUGUCAGCUGGAUAAGGCUACUGGAUAAUUGAAUUUAUAGCUUUGGAAAAAAAAAUCCAAUCUAUUUAGGCACAGUAGGGUUCCUUUUCAGAAAGCAAACAAACAAACUGACACUAAUGCAAGCAGCAGGAUGCCUCCUAAGAGCCUUCUCAGUGAUAAUCCUCUGGACUGAGGUGAGUCUGAGAGUGGGUCUGUGUGUGGGGUGAAUGGGCAUCAGGCUGGGAAUGAAGCAGCGCCUUGUCCUGCAGAUCUGGCUCGUCCUCGACACUGCUCCUUGUAGCUGACUCUGAAACACCCCAUGAGCACAUUUGCUGCGUAUGAUGCCAGCAAGUCAUAGUAACCUACAGCAGUUACCUUGCAAAAAACUUACAGGACUCUGAUCAAGGGUCUCUCAAAUUCCUCUUUACCUUUAUGGGCAUGUGUUCAGGAUCUUGAUUUGGACUGAUGAAGCUGGCCAACAGUGUCUUUAGACCUCCCCUGGCACAGCUUGAGGCCAUUUCCUCUUGUCCUGUCACUUGCUACUUGUGAGAAGAGACCAACAUCCUCCAUGCUACAACCUCCUUUCAGGUAGUUGUAAACAGCGAUAAGGUCUCCCCUCAGCCUUCUUUUUUCCAGGCUGAACAGCCCCAGUUCCCUCAACUGCUCCUCAUUAGACUUUUGCUUCAGACCUCUCACCAGCUUUAUUACAAUGAGACACAGAAAAGCUCCAUUAUUUUCUAGCUGAUUUAGUACUGUGUAUUUUUCCUUCAGUGAACACGAAGCAUUAACAGCAGAAGCCAGUGGCCAGUUUAGCUGUAAGAGGCUGAGUCCUGGGAACUUCUGCCCUUUGAUCAUCACCACCCCACCAAGUGCCUGGCAGGUCCCAUGGUGGUGGCCAAAGGAACACGGGGCUGCUCCUGCUCACAGUGCAGCUGAGCCAGAGCUCGCCCCAGUGUAGCCU